RNAcentral lists this long non-coding RNA (949 nucleotides) under Zostera marina. RNAcentral's name for it is "long non-coding RNA (ZMAR_LNC004645)". The record is from RNAcentral. Lineage: Eukaryota; Viridiplantae; Streptophyta; Magnoliopsida; Alismatales; Zosteraceae.
UAUACGAUAGGUGGAGGAGACUAUGGGAGUAUGCAAAGCUUUUUCAUGCGUUUAGGCGACCAGGCGAUGCAAGGGUGUGCAUAUUGCAUAUAGAAGUGCCUGGUCACAUAUGCGACGUGUUUUUUUAAUGUAUUUUUUACUUUUUUUAAACAUGAAAAGAUUGGAAGAAAAUAUCCGUCCUGAAAUCUGGAUAUUCUGACGGGCUGAAAGGAGACGUCCGACGACUGGAAUAAAGGCUCCGGCGAGGAUGAGGGGAGAGGAGUAAGAUCUAGAUUGGGGAGGUGGUGGGAGGGAGGCAACGGUUUUGUUUUUGGAGUUAGGGUUUAGAAAUUUUAAAUAUUGUUAUUGAAUUGGGUUUUUUUAAGGUUCUUAAUUUUUAAUGUAUGAAAAGUUUUAUUUUUCAAAUGUUUAUUAGGUAUAUGGGUCUGGCUUAGCCGGAUCCGACCUAGAUCUGACUAAGACCCAAAAAUAGGGGACCCCCCAAAUAUGCGAUGGGGAAAAUGUGCCGGGUUACAUAUGUGCACAUAUGCGAGAAUAUGCAAAAGCAUGGAGCAUGCAUAAUUUUAUCAAUGAUCAGAUAGAAAGAGGAAAAAAUGAACGUACAUUAUAAGCGGUAACUCUUCCAGCUGAGUUGCCAGGAAUAACUUUGAUCUAUAUGUCGAUUCUUCGAAACAUGUAUUCCUGUUUGGAUUGAAAUCCUGAUCUGGAUAUUUUAUCACGUAAAAGCUGUAGCAGUCUACCUCUGUCCAUAAUCUCACCUCUACUCCCACCUCAUGUUAUUUCGACGAUGUUGAAGAAAUCAUCUGCCACAGCAUGUGAGACGAGGACGAGAAGAUCUAUAAGAAGAAAAAUAUCGUCAAGAUAGAUCCUCUUUCUCCUCUCCAACUCAAGCUUGUUGCCUAUAUAUAUACCUAUAUAUAAGCUAAAUAUCUGAUAUUCCGAACCCUCC